This 467-nucleotide ribosomal RNA is filed under the name uncultured bacterium. RNAcentral describes it as "partial 16S ribosomal RNA". It matches the Rfam family "Bacterial small subunit ribosomal RNA", at positions 28 to 507 of the family's 1533-position model. The record is from RNAcentral.
GAUGAACGCUGGCGGCGUGCUUAACACAUGCAAGUCGAACGGAAAGGCCCAAGCUUGCUUGGGUACUCGAGUGGCGAACGGGUGAGUAACACGUGGGUGAUCUGCCCUGCACUUCGGGAUAAGCCUGGGAAACUGGGUCUAAUACCGGAUCGGACGAUGGUUUGGAUGCCAUUGUGGAAAGUUUUUUCGGUGUGGGAUGAGCUCGCGGCCUAUCAGCUUGUUGGUGGGGUAAUGGCCUACCAAGGCGUCGACGGGUAGCCGGCCUGAGAGGGUGUACGGCCACAUUGGGACUGAGAUACGGCACAGACUCCUACGGGAGGCAGCAGUGGGGAAUAUUGCACAAUGGGCGCAAGCCUGAUGCAGCGACGCCGCGUGGGGGAUGACGGCCUUCGGGUUGUAAACUCCUUUCGCUAGGGACGAAGCGUUUUGUGACGGUACCUGGAGAAGAAGCACCGGCUAACUACGUG